Gallus gallus (chicken) is the source of this 3617-nucleotide long non-coding RNA. NCBI's taxonomy places the organism in Eukaryota, Metazoa, Chordata, Aves, Galliformes, Phasianidae. The record is from Ensembl.
CAGUAUUAACAUCUUUUCUUUAUUAAGCUCUUUGUUGCUGUGAAGAAAAACUGAAGACCUUUUUGAUUUGUUUGCAUUUUUAUAAGACAAUUGUGUAUCCAGUUCCCAGUCUCUAAGCCUCAUGAAUUAAGUGCAGGCAUUGCAGCAUGACGGAUCUCACAAGACAUCAUCUAGAAUCACAGGAAGACGUAAAAAUCUUACAUUUGAUUUUUCUUAAAAAUGCAUCAUUUUCUUCCAAAGCCGUAACUCUAACAGUUAUAGAGAGAAAAAUAAGGAUGUCAGCACUUUCUUUUUUCAGAAAAAGGGUACUUUUCCAAGCUCAGUUCCUGGUUUCAAAGGGACAUGACUCACAUUUUCUCGCAUGCCUGGACACGACAGAACGGUUUGGUAGGACACAGACAUGAGUGUGACAGCUUGAAAUCCCCAGUCCAUGGAAGAAGCAAUCAAUUUUCAUCUUCCUCAUUGAUGAGCUCCUCUGCAGUAUGAGGUUAUAUAGGCCGUUUGUGUGGAAAGCCUUCAUUUCUGGCUGCCAUGUUGAAGAACCUUGGGAAGACUUGACUUCUUUCAUGCUCAUCAGUUCCAAAAACCUGACCUCCUUAGAGGAUGUCGUGGGGUGAGUGACAAAAAUAGCUCAUUGCUACUGAAAGUGCUGCCCUUGGGAGCGCUGUGAGGAAGGCAGCACGUUGGGUGCCAUGGCCAUUGGCAGCCCGGAGAAAGAGGCUGCUGGUGGCUGCAGGGCUCCUGUGCUGCUGGAAGUUGUUCACACUUGAGCCUUCCUGGGAAAGCAAGGGCAAUCUAAAUUUCUAAUGCAGCAAAACAAGCAGGAAAAAGAGAAAUCAAAGCCUACCUUCAAAGGCCCCUUUUAUGCCUCAUUAAAAAACUGAGAAAGACCCAAGUGGGGUCUAACCACUCAGUCCUUUUAAUCUCCUUAAGUCUGCUGUGGGCUUGCUUGGUUUUUUGGUUUUUUUUUCCUCCGGUUUGUCACAAACCUGUCACAGCAAUACGUGCUGACAGCCAUGCAACAACAUUGCUGAGUCCCCAGUUCUACACCAGGCAGCAUGGCCUAAUGCGGCCUGCCGCCCAGGAGCAACAAGCUCCUCUUCCCACCCACAGACACCUUCUAGCUCAGGCAGGCUGCAGACCCACUUUCUGCCCUGGACAUUUAUCCAGGUACUUAGCAGAAUUUGUUAUUUUUGCAAGCUUUGACAAUCUCUAGCAAUCUCAAAAGUGACUGUGACUCUGUAUCUGAGAAAGAAAUGGAGAAGUCUCCAGUGGGCAGUCAUGGUUUGGCUACUAUGAUAUUGAAGAGCCACACAUUCUCCUACAGCCUCUACAAGUAUGCAUCAUUUAAAAUUUAUUUGACUUCUUCCAGCUUUUUCUUUCUUUCUUUUUUUUUUUUUUUUUUUUUUUUUUUUGGACUUAUAUAGAUCUGGUUUGAUAAUUGUUUUCUUCCUUGGAAUACUUUGCCUUCACAAAAGUUCAUUUCUACUCAGAGACCAGAUGCAUCCUCUAAUAACAAUUACGUAGCACAGAGCAAUAAACCUAUUGUUUAGCCCAGUAAAUCAGGCCGUAUAAUCAGAGAAGGCAGACUGUUAUUUCUUCACUGUACAUUUGUAAUGCUUUGUUUGACUUCUUAUAGGCUCAGGCAUAUAUACAUACAUACACAAAUAUAUAUGUUUCUAUGCUUUGGGCAUGGCAAUCUGCAGAACAAAAAGAGCAGAGCCCCAUGUUAGUGAAGGGCUGCUGAUCCAGCAUGACAGUGCCCAUCCUUGUAAGUCCUGACCAUGGGGCCUCUGAGCCCCCAUCCUACAGUCCCAAGGUUGAGCAAUGGGAGGUUCACUGGUGCUGUGAAAUUGAACACCUUAGCAAGAAUGCUCCCCACGAUACAAGAAAAUGUGUCAGAGAAUAAUAGAAUAGUAGUAAAAUAGAAUAAUAGUAUAAUAGAACUCUUCAUUAGAAGGACCCAUAGAGUUCACCUAGUCCAGCUCCCUUGCAAUGAACGGGGACACCAACAGCUAGAUCAGGUGCUCAGAACCCCGUCCAGCCUGGCCUUGAAUGUCUCCUGGAAAAAGGCAUUCACCACUCUCUGGGCAACCUGUUCCAGUGCUUCACCACCCUUACUGUAAAAAACUUCUUUAUUAUACCCAGUCUAAAUCUCUCGUCUUUUAGUUUGAAGCCAUUUCCCCUUGUCCUAUCACAGCAACUAAAUAGUGUGUCACCCCCAUUAAAUGCAUUUCUCAGGGUCACGUCUCUCUGGGGCACUCCUGGAUGAGUGGCUCUUUAUCUUGCAGGCUUCCAGCACAAGAACUAGCUCAGCUAAGUCUUUUCUCGUAUAAAUAGCCUGUUGGCACAUAAACCAUGCUCAGGGGCUGCAUUCUACCAAUAAAUUCUGGUUUCUGCUCUGAACAUCCACCUAUCCCUUCAGCAACAAGUCUUCCAACCAUGCUUUUUCACAACAGCCUUCACUCUUGCCUUGCAGCUGUCUGUUGCAAUGUUAUACUGUGGGAAUAGGAUGUAUCUAGUUUUAUGUUUGGCAGUCGGCACUGCAGAAGGUCCCUGACAUCCGUAUUCUGACUCCUGCAAUGGUACCUGUAGUAGGCUACCAGCACUUGUUGUUCUGUCCCUUGAACGUGCCCCACUGUUUAAAUUCUUCCUGUGCAAUCUUCAUUUCCCUCCCCUAUAGCUUAUAGCUGCAUGGGUAACUAUUAAUAGCACAUUGCUGCACUGGAAAUGCAGAGCCUGGGGUACGAAGAACUGAGAGCUUUUGACACUUUACCAAAAGCCGGUCCAGGCUGUCCCCUUAUCAAAAGUGCCAUCCCACUGCAGUUUACAUGGUGUGCCCAGCUGCAUGUGCAAAUCAUAUCAGCACAAGUCCCGUGGGCUCUGUCAAGGAGCUGGGCAGCAAAGCCUCACUCUGCAUCAGUCUGGCUGCCCUCUGCCCUGCAGAUAGGAAGCCUCAGCUCCCAGAGCCUGAAAACUCUGUCAGGUUACCGACAAAGAGGAAAAGGCACUGGGGAGUCAAGAGAUUCAGGCUUGUUUCCCAGAUUUGAAACAGUUGUCUCUCAUGGCCUUGUGCAAAAUGCUUUUUCUCCACUCCCUCCGGGUCCUUAUCAGGAAAACUGGAACAGCAGCUUCUCGACUCCCUUCUGUCCUGCCUGCCCCGGUGCUAAUGGGAAGAGUUUUGCUGAACGUGGUAGAGCACAGCCCAGCACAAGGAGUUCUCACAAGGGCAGUGAUGGGCCCACGUCCUAAACACCACCAUAAGCAACCAGGUUAGGAGCCAACAUUCCCUGCUUAAUAUCAAACUCUGCUUUUUCUGAUAAUGUGGUAUAUGCAGAGAUUGUAUUCUGCACUGAAAAGCUGCCCUGGGGUUGUGAGAGAUGUGCAGCCCUGUAGCCUCAGGAUGCUCUAGGUUCUCUGUCAGGUUUUUAUGGGAACACAGCAGGCGUGGUUUAUAUGGGUACAGAGCAUGUCUAGGAGGAGCAUGGCAUUCACAUGGUGAUGUGGGACACCAGCAGUAGAGCUUGCAGGGCUGCACACCUCUGUGGUGCCCACUGACCCUACUCAUAUAUUCCCAGACCCUUGAGGAGAACAUCAUCGAGUUCCUAAUUCUUUUG